Long non-coding RNA from Cynocephalus volans (Philippine flying lemur), 1979 nucleotides. RefSeq lists it as uncharacterized. The record is from RefSeq and is a predicted model, not a curated record. The transcript is spliced from 3 exons. NCBI's taxonomy places the organism in Eukaryota, Metazoa, Chordata, Mammalia, Dermoptera, Cynocephalidae.
GUGCGGCGCCGGGGCGCCCGGCGCUCGCGGGGACACUGAGGCCAGCGCAAGGCACAGUGUGCGUACGCGGAGGUCCGGCGACUUCCGUGCCUUUCCCAGCGCUCACAGCUCCGAGGAAGAAGAAGUCCCUGUGUCCUGCUGGAGUCCGUGUCAGCGGAGAAGAUUUCCAGGGGAGAUGAGUCUGAUGGCGCUGAGGGGCUGAGGCCUCCUGCCGGCCUCUGCCUGGGACAUCCUUGCAUCGAAGUCAGCAGGCUGCUCUUGCUGUCCGCCCUGUUCCUCGGAGUCCCAUGUGAGAACACAAGAUCAUGUCACCUCUCCCGUGGCUAUCCUCAAGUGCAGGCCCUGGCAGCAGCUCUUCAGCCACCAUCGGCUGUAAACUUCAGGUUCCUGAGGCAGAUGGACAUACAUAGAGGAGACCCUAGUGACCUCCAGAUGACACUUGGAAUGCAAGUCAUGGCCCCCCACCCCCAACAAUUUUUCAGAGCCUUACUGGAACCAGAAUGCUGGACAUAAUUAAAAAGUGAGGCAUCUGUCACCAUUUACUGCAAGAAAAGCAAAAAAGGAGCGAGACUGGAAUGUGUUGAUCUCCCACUGUUACCAAACCCAAGUCCGGCUGUCGCUGCCAAAACAGAAACAAGGGAGACUCGGACGUCAAUUGUUGGUGAAACAGGAAGGCAGCUGUUCUCAGGCCUGAGGAGACAGCAAGCUAAGCCACCUCAAAGGCUCAGAUCUACCGAGGCUUUCAAGAAGGAGGAAGCAGUUAGUGAAGAGCAGGAGGGAGACUGGCAAGGGGCUGAUGCAGGGUCUCACCAAGGCUCUGUCUGGCUUGUCCUUGAUGCUAUCUUAGGGUUCUGCAGGAUUUUGAUUCCUUGCUGGCGCCCAUGGUCAGCCUCGAGACAUCUGUUCUUGGAAUUCUGCAAGCCUCAAAGAACUGUUAGUUUUGCAGGUCCUGAUUAGUUUUUAACAGCCUUGUUUUUCUACUUAGCAAGCAAGAUAAGAAAGUCAGCAUGCAUCUGACUGCCAGUGUUUCAAAGCAUGCAUCUGGCAAAAUCCCAACUGCAGAUGAAUCCAACAAUCUGCUUUCUCCCUGCUGGCCCACAGAGCUGAACUUCCCUGGGCAGGUGGGUCCACUGUAAAUCCACUCAACCUCAGAUGGCCCCCACCACUGCCCAAACUGUCUACUUUUGCUUACCUGAUCAGUUCACACUUCUACUCUCUGCAGUGACUAUUUCCCCCCCUUUUAAAGAUUAAAGUAUACUUUACAUGCAUUAAAACUUACCUCCUUUCGUUUACAGUUCUGCAAGUUUUGACAAAUGCGUAUAAUCGAGCAACUGCCGCCACAGUUAAGAUGCAGAACUCUGUCAGCCCGAACUGCCUCUGUGGCCUUUGGUUGGUGGUCACCUCCUCUCCCCCUCUCAGCUCCUGGAAACCACUGAUGUGUUUGUCUUUUUCAGAAUGUCACAUAAACAAAAUCAUAUAGUUUGUGAUCUUUUGACCCUGGCUUCUUUCACUCAGAAGGAUGCGUUUGAGAUUCAUCCAUAUUGUGUGUUUUGGUGGCUCAUCUUUUGUUACAGCUAAGUAGCAUUCUCUUGCGUGUUGUAUCUGUUUGUUUAUUCAUUCACCAGUUGAAGGACAUUUGGAUCAUUUCCAGUUUUUGGUCAUUAUGAAAAAAAAAGCCACUUUAAACAUUUGCAUACAGGUUUUUGUGUGAACUUAAGUUUUCAUUUCUCUUGGGCAAAUAUCUGGGAGUGGGAUUGUUGGGCCGUAGAUUUCACUGCAAAACCAUUUUUCCAAGGGGCUGUACCAUUUUGCAUUUCCACCCACAAUGUAUGAGAGUUCCAGUUGCUCUGCAUCCUCACCAACAGUUUGUAGUAUCAAUUUAAAAAAUUUUUUAGUCAUUCUAAUAUGGUAACUUAUUGUGGUUUUAAAUUAUAUUAUCCUAAUGAUUAAUGAUGUUGAGCAUCUUUUCAUGUGCUUAU